Molecule: transfer RNA, 89 nt
Filed under: Spirochaetales bacterium
Lineage: Bacteria; Pseudomonadati; Spirochaetota; Spirochaetia; Spirochaetales
Description: tRNA-Ser
Rfam family: tRNA
About the family: Transfer RNA (tRNA) molecules are approximately 80 nucleotides in length. Their secondary structure includes four short double-helical elements and three loops (D, anti-codon, and T loops).
Source: RNAcentral
GGAGAGGUGCCAGAGUGGCCGAAUGGGGCUCCCUGCUAAGGAGUUGUCCGGCUAAAACCGGACCGGAGGUUCGAAUCCUCUCCUCUCCG